This is a ribosomal RNA of 434 nucleotides. It matches the Rfam family "Bacterial small subunit ribosomal RNA", at positions 341 to 792 of the family's 1533-position model.
ACGGGAGGCAGCAGUGGGGGAUAUUGCACAAUGGGGGAAACCCUGAUGCAGCGAUGCCGCGUGAGGGAAGAAGGUUUUCGGAUUGUAAACCUCUGUCUUUGGGGACGAUGAUGACGGUAUCCAGAGAGGAAGCUCCGGCUAACUACGUGCCAGCAGCCGCGGUAAUACGUAGGGGGCAAGCGUUGUCCGGAUUUACUGGGUGUAAAGGGAGCGUAGGCGGAUUUGUAAGUUGAAUGUGAAAUUUACGGGCUUAACUCGUAAACUGCGUUCAAAACUGUGAGUCUUGAGUGGAGUAGAGGCAGAUGGAAUUCCUAGUGUAGCGGUGGAAUGCGUAGAUAUUAGGAGGAACGCCGGUGGCGAAAGCGGUCUGCUGGGCUCUAACUGACGCUGAGGCUCGAAAGCAUGGGGAGCAAACAGGAUUAGAUACCCUGGUA